CCGCAGUAUUUUGACUGUGCAAAGGUAGCAUAAUCAUUAGUCUUUUAAUUGAAGGCUGGUAUGAAUGGUUGGAUGAGGUACAAGCUGUGUCAUAAAAAUUAAUAAUUGAAUUUAACUUUUUAGUCAAAAGGCUAAAAUUUAAUUAAAAGACGAGAAGACCCUAUAGAGCUUUAUAUUACAAAUAUUUAAUUUAUUAAGAUUUAUUAAAAUUAAUUAUUUUGUUUUAUUUUGUUGGGGUGACAAUAAAAUUUAUAAAACUUUUAUUAAUAUUUAACAUUUAUUUAUGAUUAUAUGAUCCAGUUUUAUUGAUUAUAAAUUUAAGUUACCUUAGGGAUAACAGCGUAAUUUUUUUUGAGAGUUCAUAUCGACAAAAAAGAUUGCGACCUCGAUGUUGGAUUAAGAGUAAUUUUGGGUGUAGAAGUUCAAAGUUUAAGUCUGUUCGACUUUUAAAUUCUUACAU
This 460-nucleotide ribosomal RNA is filed under the name Simulium tribulatum. Its description in RNAcentral is "partial 16S ribosomal RNA". It matches the Rfam family "Bacterial large subunit ribosomal RNA", at positions 1931 to 2601 of the family's 2925-position model. The record is from RNAcentral. Lineage: Eukaryota; Metazoa; Arthropoda; Insecta; Diptera; Simuliidae.